This 2120-nucleotide long non-coding RNA is filed under the name Carica papaya (papaya). Its description in RNAcentral is "long non-coding RNA (CPAP_LNC016315)". The record is from RNAcentral. Lineage: Eukaryota; Viridiplantae; Streptophyta; Magnoliopsida; Brassicales; Caricaceae.
UAAAACAGAGAUUGCAAUUGCUGUUAGAAUACAUAUGUGACACCCCGUUCUUUUUUUUUUUAACGGUGUACGAUAAAGCACGCAUACAACACAAUACCGAAAUCCAUAUUAUUCCAACCAUGCACAAGAGAAAUUUAUCCACCUUCCAUGUUCCAAAUCAAUUGUACAUACAUCUCCACCUCUACAACACAUAGUAAUACAAUAUCAAACAUUCCUAGAUAUUCAAUAUCCAGACUAAACCAUCCUUUCAAACUACUUUAAAUCACAAACAAAACUCGUGCCCUAUGGCACUACCGACGGGGCUCCGUUACCAGCCGCUCGGAUCCCAAUUCCGUCCUUACUCCACCUGUGAAUGAUGAGAAGUGAGUUCACAUAACUCAAUACGAUAAAAAUCAAGUUGUAAGUGUGAUAUGCAGUGACAAGAAUUUCCAGAAAUGUCUAUAUGCAUUUAUCCUACCCAACCCCAACAACUCAUAACCCUCUCCCUACACUAAUUAUCAAGGUCCCAUUCCAAGGCAAUAGCACGGCCAAACAACCCCCCCCCACCCAACAAUCAUCCACUAACUCUCGUCACCAACAUCGGCGACUCAUACACUCUUCCCCCAUCUCCCGACCUCCACGAGGUCACACACACACACACACCCAACCACCUUCAUUCCACGUCACCAAUAUCGGCGACUCACAUCUAUAUCUCCACCUCUCGACCUAAUAGGCCACGCACACACCCACACACCAUUAUUCCGCGUCACCAACAUCGGCGACUCACACUCACUCCUCCACCUCUCGACCUAAAGAGGCCACACACACACACAAAUACCAUCGUCUCGCGUCACCAACAUCGGCGACUCAUACUCACUCCUCCACCUCUCGACCUAAAGAGGCCACACACACACACAAAGACCAUCCUCUCGCGUCACCAACAUCGGCGACUCAUACUCACUCCUCCAUCUCUCGACCUCGUUGGGCCACGCACAAACACAAACACUUCCACCUCCCGUCACCACCUUCCGUGAAUCAUGCACCCUUCUACCCCUCUCGGCCUUGCUAGGCCACACUCACAUACAUAUCCCCUCCCUGCUCCACCAACAUCGGCAACUCAGCCCGCCCCUACCAACGGUCUCCAAAUCUCCCCUUAUACCAUGCUAGUCCCAAGCAUUCUAACUUACUAACUCCUACUGACCACAUUACUCUUCUUCUCCCGUCCAAUCCCCCUCAAAUCCUGCUUCCUAGUCCCCUCUGCCGUACCUUCCAGCUCCCUUCCCUCUCCCACUGCCCCCUACCCACUACCUCCCCCAUCCUCCUGCCUCCUCCCGGUUCCUAUACACUUUUGCCUACCUAGGGCGAUUAACCUCUCAGCUUGCACCGUUUCACGCCACAUACACGCCCUCACCACCGUGCAUUUCGGGGAAACACAUCACCGCCUAUUAACGGCUCCCUCCACAUCCCCACCCACGCACACACCACACACACACCUCUUCUGUCCUCUCGAGUUUUUUAUCCCACCCGCGCCCCCUAGAUUGUUCUCUCACAUCCUCCUCACUCUGUUCUACCCGUACCACCCCCAUCCUUCCCCACGGCCCCCCCCCACACGCCUCCAACACCGCCAUACUUUCCCUUCCUUCCCCGAUCACCUCCGUGAGCGCGCGGGACAACCCCACGCUUACGGCCUACCUUCACUGUUCCACUCCGUCGCGCCAUUGCCGACGCCGCAACCUGCAACCAAAUUUCUCUACACACACACACCACACCAAACAACUCAAAUUUUCACCGUACCUCCCGUUUCCAUCCUCCUUCUUCCUGCCGGUCGCGUCGUCCGUCCACGGCCUCCUUCCCUCUCCCUUCUCGCUCCCCUCCGCCCCGACUCUCUCCUCUCUCCUUCUGGAACUUUCCUCUUCUUCUUCGUCUCCGCUCUCCUCCUUCCCUCCUUUUCUCUUUUUCUCUUUUUCCUUUUCUUUUUUUUUUUUUUCUUUUCCCUUUCUCCCUUUUCCGACCUCCUUUUAUACUCUGCCAGCCUACCCCAAAACGACAUCGUUUUCCUACAUCCCAAAACGACGUCGUUUUUCUUUCUUUCAAAACGACGUCGUUUUUCCCUUCUCUAAAACGACGUCGUUUUUAUUAUU